UCAGUUGGUAGAGCGGAGGACUGUA
Molecule: non-coding RNA, 25 nt
Filed under: Bos taurus (domestic cattle)
Lineage: Eukaryota; Metazoa; Chordata; Mammalia; Artiodactyla; Bovidae
Also listed under: 2 other names
Source: RNAcentral